RNAcentral lists this unclassified non-coding RNA (197 nucleotides) under Tuberculina sp. Its description in RNAcentral is "partial contains small subunit ribosomal RNA, internal transcribed spacer 1, and 5.8S ribosomal RNA". The stretch from base 1 to 46 matches the Rfam family "Eukaryotic small subunit ribosomal RNA", at positions 1786 to 1831 of the family's 1831-position model. The record is from RNAcentral. Lineage: Eukaryota; Fungi; Basidiomycota; Pucciniomycetes; Helicobasidiales; Helicobasidiaceae.
AAGUCGUAACAAGGUUUCCGUAGGUGAACCUGCGGAAGGAUCAUUAAUGAAGAACAGAGUGCACUUUAUUGUGGCUCAACCCUUCACAUCCACUCACCCUGUGCAUUGUAAUACCUUUUUUUAACACUCCAAUAGUUAUUGAAUGUAACACUUUUAUAAAGUAAAUAAAACUUUCAACAACGGAUCUCUUGGCUCUC